This 1156-nucleotide long non-coding RNA is filed under the name Trifolium pratense (red clover). RNAcentral's name for it is "long non-coding RNA (TPRA_LNC008473)". Lineage: Eukaryota; Viridiplantae; Streptophyta; Magnoliopsida; Fabales; Fabaceae. The record is from RNAcentral.
GUUUUUUGGUCCUAUUUAUAUAGAAUGGCAAGUACUAUUAUAGGCUUUGUUCUACUUUGAAUUUGAUUAAUAGGUAAUGAUGAGUUACCGUAUAAGUUAAUUUAAAAUACAACAUUAUGUUAUUUUAGUAAUUAAUUGAUCAAAAAGAUUAUUAACAUGUUCGUAAGAUAAUUAAAAUAAAUAUAAUAAGGUUGUAGGUUCUGUUUAGACUAGAAUUCGCCCUAGUUGAAGAGCUAUGAGUUGGGUAAUUAGUUUUGAGUUACUAAUUGGAGGAAUAAAAGACACCAAAUAAUGGGAGUUACUAAUUAGCCGAUGAUUACUUAUGUUGCUUUUUCAAGUCGUGGAUAUAAGUUGUUAAUAAUAAGCCGUUGUUAUAAGAAUGAUCUGGAUGUGGUACUAUGGUGGUCGUUGAGCUGCUGUUUGUCGUGUUGUUAUGGUGGCCAUUGAGCUGCCGUUUGUCGUGUUGUUAUGGUGACCGUUGCGUUGCCGUUUGCCGUGUUGCUAAGGUGGCCGUUGUGCUGCCGUUUGUCGUGUUGCCAUGGUAGAUGUUGCGUCGCCGUUCGUCGUGUUGUCAUCAUUAUAUUUAUGAGUUGCUUUAUUUUGUUAAUUAUUGAGUUGUCCCGGUUGUGUUUAAUUGUCCAAAGAUGAUGUACUUUAUUUUCGUUGACUUCUAUGUUUUACUAUAACUUGUAUUGCUAUUAUUUUCGGUUUCUUAUGUGAUUUCGUUACUGACCCUUUUGUCCCCCUCUGGUUUGACCCUACGAUGUGAAAUCAUAGAUUUUUCAGGUAAUAGAUGAGUCUUAGCGCCGAGUGUCGAGGAUGGCUUUAGGGCGCUAUCUUCUUUUCCUGCUUUCAAUAAAUUGAGUCGCUCUGAUAGGAAGCCAAUAGGGAGGGGAACUCUCAAUUACAAUUUCAGUUAUUAUUACAUUAAAAACUAUUGGAGUUUUAGUUGUUUUUUUUUUCUAAGACUAUUGAACCAUGUUAUUCGUUUUAGUGAUUUUCAAUUCAGGCUUUAGGAUUUAUAUUUUUAUUUAAAUUUUAAUUUUCGCUGCAAUUUUUAAGCCAGUUAGAAAUUAAUUUGAAGCAGAGUAACACUCUUUCAGCAAAUAAAUCAUUUAAUUUUUAUAAAUAAAAUCAAUGGGAAUUUGAGGGUGUU